Acanthopagrus latus (yellowfin seabream) is the source of this 630-nucleotide long non-coding RNA. RefSeq lists it as uncharacterized. The record is from RefSeq and is a predicted model, not a curated record. The transcript is spliced from 3 exons. Lineage: Eukaryota; Metazoa; Chordata; Actinopteri; Spariformes; Sparidae.
AGUUUUUGUGCUCGGCUGGGCGGUGCGGAGUUACUUUUGUAGCCCUCCCUCCACCACCGGUCUUUUUUUCUCUCCCUUUUUUUCCUUGUCAAUGCUGCUGCCCCUCGUCUAAAGCAUUGUGUCAUCUGGUCAACACAGACAGACAGAGCCCCGGUGACACGGUUCCAUCAACAGUCCCAGUGCGCCACGCCGCUAAGUCAAGAAUUGGACAAUACCCAAAGAGCCAUGGAACCGGCUCGUGGAACUCUACGGGUGUGUAGUUGACAUCAAGAUGAAGGCCAGGUUUAAAGAUGGGCGUGGACAUCUCCGUGAGUACUGAGUGCUAAUGUAGUAAAGACUUUUGAGGACUCAUUAUUUGGAGUGUGAAAACUAGAGCAAAACUCAGAGCAUGAAAACUUGAGAUGCUCUCAAUUUUCAUCGUAAUCAACCUUUUCCUUUUCCCCGAUGACACACCAAACUGUCUGCCGUGAAAACGGUCUAUUCACGAGCCGGAAGAGUGGAAAUUAAACUGGUUGAUAUUCUGCUCGUUGACUCUAUGAACUUGCCCUGACCUCCUUCCUUCAGGCAGCACGAACAAAGCAACACACAUGGGAUCGUACACUAAAUAGAGAGCAUUUCGCUCCACUUGUG